UCCAAGUCCUUCUCCAUUUUCUUCAACUAAGAUUUCAUUUUCAAAUGGUGAGAGAGUUGAGAUCCACCCACAAAUGGGGUGAAGUUUCACCGACCCUUUUGAUAUCUCAUCCUCAUGCUCAGAGUCAGAGAUCCUCAUAUUCUUUCAAAUUAGAGCCUAUUAUUGAAGAGGAGCCACAAGGGUCUAAAUUGUUGUACAAGAGUGUUGUUUCUUUGCCUUUGCUACUCUCUGGGUUGUUAUUCAUUUUCUUUUAUAGAGAAUCAUUUUCUUUUGGUGUUUAGAAAAACUUGAAGAAUUUUUCUCGUAUUAUAUAUGUAAUGAUAAAAAAUAAAGAUCAUCAAAUUUAUU
This 348-nucleotide long non-coding RNA is filed under the name Lotus japonicus. RNAcentral describes it as "long non-coding RNA (LJAP_LNC000881)". The record is from RNAcentral. Lineage: Eukaryota; Viridiplantae; Streptophyta; Magnoliopsida; Fabales; Fabaceae.